RNAcentral lists this ribosomal RNA (253 nucleotides) under uncultured bacterium. RNAcentral describes it as "partial 16S ribosomal RNA". It matches the Rfam family "Bacterial small subunit ribosomal RNA", at positions 524 to 776 of the family's 1533-position model. The record is from RNAcentral.
UACGAAGGGGGCUAGCGUUGCUCGGAAUCACUGGGCGUAAAGGGUGCGUAGGCGGAUUGUUAAGUCGGGGGUGAAAUCCUGGAGCUCAACUCCAGAACUGCCUUCGAUACUGGCGAUCUCGAGUUCGGGAGAGGUGAGUGGAACUGCGAGUGUAGAGGUGAAAUUCGUAGAUAUUCGCAAGAACACCAGUGGCGAAGGCGGCUCACUGGCCCGAUACUGACGCUGAGGUGCGAAAGCGUGGGGAGCAAACAGG